Molecule: ribosomal RNA, 626 nt
Filed under: Escherichia coli
Lineage: Bacteria; Pseudomonadati; Pseudomonadota; Gammaproteobacteria; Enterobacterales; Enterobacteriaceae
Description: partial 23S ribosomal RNA
Rfam family: Bacterial large subunit ribosomal RNA
Source: RNAcentral
AGCCCAGAGCCUGAAUCAGUGUGUGUGUUAGUGGAAGCGUCUGGAAAGGCGCGCGAUACAGGGUGACAGCCCCGUACACAAAAAUGCACAUGCUGUGAGCUCGAUGAGUAGGGCGGGACACGUGGUAUCCUGUCUGAAUAUGGGGGGACCAUCCUCCAAGGCUAAAUACUCCUGACUGACCGAUAGUGAACCAGUACCGUGAGGGAAAGGCGAAAAGAACCCCGGCGAGGGGAGUGAAAAAGAACCUGAAACCGUGUACGUACAAGCAGUGGGAGCACAGAGCAAUCUGUGUGACUGCGUACCUUUUGUAUAAUGGGUCAGCGACUUAUAUUCUGUAGCAAGGUUAACCGAAUAGGGGAGCCGAAGGGAAACCGAGUCUUAACUGGGCGUUAAGUUGCAGGGUAUAGACCCGAAACCCGGUGAUCUAGCCAUGGGCAGGUUGAAGGUUGGGUAACACUAACUGGAGGACCGAACCGACUAAUGUUGAAAAAUUAGCGGAUGACUUGUGGCUGGGGGUGAAAGGCCAAUCAAACCGGGAGAUAGCUGGUUCUCCCCGAAAGCUAUUUAGGUAGCGCCUCGUGAAUUCAUCUCCGGGGGUAGAGCACUGUUUCGGCAAGGGGGUCAUC